GGGGAUAAAUUAAUAAAUAUAGGGGUAAUAAAAAAAAUUUUAAUAUAAAAUAUUUUAUGGGGGUUAAAGUAUUUUUAUAGAAAAAAUUGAUAUUUUUAUAGUUAAUUAGUAUUGUGAAAGAAUUUUGAAAUAAAAUUGAAAAAAAAAUUUAUUAAAAAGUAAAUUUAAUUUAUUGUAUCUUGUGUAUCAGAGUUUAUUAAUAAUUUUUUAUUAAUUUAAAUUUCUCGAAUUUAAAAGAGUUAAUUAAUUAAAAAAUUUAUUGUUUCAUAAAUAUUUUUAAUAAUUAAUUAGAAAUGAAAUGUUAUUCGUUUUUAAAUAUAUCUAGUUUUUUUAGAAAAAAAUUUAAUUUUUAUUUUAAUUUGUAAAUUUAUUAAUUAAUUAAUAAAUUUACAAAUUAAAAUUAAUAUUUUAAGGGAUAAGCUUUAAAUUAAAUUUUUAUAAAUAUUUAUAAAAGUUUGAAAUUUUUAUAAUUUAUAUUGUUAAUAAAUUUUAAUUUAUUAUAAAUAAUUUCAUAAAAUAAUAAAAUUUUAUUAAAAUUUAAUUUUUUAUAAAAAAUUAAAUUUUAAUGAUAAUAAUUUAGAUAUAAUGAUAAAAUUAGUAUAUAUUUAAUUUAACUAAAAAAAAGUUAUAAUAUAAUUUAAUAAAGUGAAUUAUAUAAUGAAUUAUUUUAAAGGAAUUCGACAAAUAUGUAUAUUCACCUGUUUAUCAAAAACAUGUCUUUUUGUUAAUAAUUUAAAGUCUAAUCUGCCCACUGAUUUUAAUUAAAGGGCUGCAGUAAUUUGACUGUACAAAGGUAGCAUAAUCAUUAGUCUCUUAAUUGGUGACUUGUAUGAAAGAUUGGAUGAAAUAUAGAUUGUCUCUAAAAUAAUAUAUUGAAUUUAAUUUUUUAAUUAAAAAGUUAAAAUGAUUUAAAAAGACGAGAAGACCCUAUAGAGUUUUAUAUAAAUUUAUGUUUAAAUUUUUUGUUUAGUUAUUAAUUUAAAUAUAAUUUUAUAUUUUAUUGGGGUGAUAAGAAAAUAUAAAAAACUUUUUUUAUAAUUUACCAUUAAUAAGUGAUUAUUUGAUCCAGUAUUAUUGAUUAUAAGAAUAAAUUACCUUAGGGAUAACAGCGUAAUUUUUUUUUUUAGUUCAAAUAAGAAGAAGAGUUUGCGACCUCGAUGUUGGAUUAAGAUAAAAUUUAAAUGCAAAAGUUUAAAAUUUUGAUCUGUUCGAUCAUUAAAAUCUUACAUGAUCUGAGUUCAAACCGGUGUGAGCCAGGUUGGUUUCUAUCUUUUAAUUUUUUUUUAUAUUUUAGUACGAAAGGAUCAAAUAUUAUAAUUAAAUUAAUUUUUAUUGUUUUUUAUUAAAUAUUCAUUAAAUUUUUACAUUUAAAUUGUAUUGUUUAAUUUAUAUAUAUAUAUAUAUAUUAGUUAUUUUAUAUUUCUGUUA
This 1428-nucleotide ribosomal RNA is filed under the name Langia zenzeroides. Its description in RNAcentral is "16S ribosomal RNA". The record is from RNAcentral. Lineage: Eukaryota; Metazoa; Arthropoda; Insecta; Lepidoptera; Sphingidae.